Molecule: ribosomal RNA, 329 nt
Filed under: uncultured eukaryote
Lineage: Eukaryota
Description: partial 18S ribosomal RNA
Rfam family: Eukaryotic small subunit ribosomal RNA
Source: RNAcentral
CCCUUAGAUGUUCUGGGCCGCACGCGCGCUACAAUGAUGAAUUCAACGAGUUUAUAACCUUGGUUGAAAAGCCUGGGUAAUCUUUUGAACUUUCGUCGUGAUGGGGCUAGACCCUUGCAAUUAUUGGUCUCCAACGAGGAAUUCCUAGUAAACGCAAGUCAUCAGCUUGCAUUGAUUACGUCCCUGCCCUUUGUACACACCGCCCGUCGCACCUACCGAUUGAAUGGUCCGGUGAAAUCUUCGGGCCGUGACUUUGAUUUGUUUACUCAAAACGCUGUUACGGGAAGUUGAUUAAACCUUACCAUUUAGAGGAAGGUGAAGUCGUAACA